RNAcentral lists this ribosomal RNA (510 nucleotides) under uncultured bacterium. Its description in RNAcentral is "partial 16S ribosomal RNA". The record is from RNAcentral.
GGAGUUAGCCGGUGCUUCUUCUGUGAGUGAUGUCCUUCCUGCCGGCUAUUAACCCGCAGGCCUUCUUCCUCACUGAAAGUGCUUUACAACCCGAAGGCCUUCUUCACACACGCGGCAUGGCUGGAUCAGGGUUGCCCCCAUUGUCCAAUAUUCCCCACUGCUGCCUCCCGUAGGAGUCUGGGCCGUGUCUCAGUCCCAGUGUGGCUGAUCAUCCUCUCAGACCAGCUACGGAUCGUCGCCUUGGUGAGCCGUUACCUCACCAACCAGCUAAUCCGACAUAGGCUCAUCCGAUAGCGCGAGGCCCGAAGGUCCCCCGCUUUCCCCCGUAGGGCGUAUGCGGUAUUAGCCUGGGUUUCCCCAGGUUAUCCCCCACUACCGGGCAGAUUCCUAUGCAUUACUCACCCGUCCGCCGCUCGCCACCAGGGAGCAAGCUCCCCGUGCUGCCGCUCGACUUGCAUGUGUAGCGUCGCCGCCNCGCGUCUAUACUGACGACGAGACUACUACCUACGA